UGGUCUAUCUGGGUAGGGUGUUUGACUCGGAGCCAAAAGGUCCUGGGUUCGAACCCCAGUGUCC
This is a non-coding RNA of Merluccius polli (Benguela hake), 64 nucleotides long. Lineage: Eukaryota; Metazoa; Chordata; Actinopteri; Gadiformes; Merlucciidae. The record is from the annotation of a GenBank genome assembly.